Molecule: unclassified non-coding RNA, 222 nt
Filed under: uncultured fungus
Lineage: Eukaryota; Fungi
Description: partial contains 18S rRNA, ITS1 and 5.8S rRNA
Source: RNAcentral
AGGUGAACCUGCGGAAGGAUCAUUCAUAAUUGAGUGUUUUAUGGCACUCUUUAAAAAAAUCCAUAUCCACCUUGUGUGCAACGUUUUUGAACUCUCUCUGGCAUUAAAAAACCAAGAGGGUUUGAUUAACUUAACACCUUUAAAGCAGUUUGUCUGAAUAUCUAUUUCUGAAUAAACAUAAUUCAAAAAUACAACUUUCAACAACGGAUCUCUUGGCUCUCG